GUACACUCCUGCGGGAGGCAGCAGUGGGGAAUAUUGGACAAUGGGCGCAAGCCUGAUCCAGCCAUGCCGCGUGAGUGAUGAAGGCCCUAGGGUUGUAAAGCUCUUUCACCGGUGAAGAUAAUGACGGUAACCGGAGAAGAAGCCCCGGCUAACUUCGUGCCAGCAGCCGCGGUAAUACGAAGGGGGCUAGCGUUGUUCGGAUUUACUGGGCGUAAAGCGCACGUAGGCGGACUAUUAAGUCAGGGGUGAAAUCCCGGGGCUCAACCCCGGAACUGCCUUUGAUACUGGUAGUCUUGAGUUCGAGAGAGGUGGGUGGAAUUCCGAGUGUAGAGGUGAAAUUCGUAGAUGUUCGGAGGAACACCAGUGGCGAAGGCGGCUCACUGGCUCGAUACUGACGCUGAGGUGCGAAAGCGUGGGGAGCAAACAGGAUUAGAAACCCCGGUAGUCCCAUGAU
Molecule: ribosomal RNA, 454 nt
Filed under: uncultured organism
Description: partial 16S ribosomal RNA
Rfam family: Bacterial small subunit ribosomal RNA
Source: RNAcentral